AAUCAAACUGGUGCCCAUAUGGGAUGCAGGCGCUGCAGGCCAGGGCCUUAACCCACUGUGCCACAGCACCAGUCCUGGGAACAUUAUCUUUUUGUUACAGCUUGGAUGAUAGUUUGGGAGUCCCCCAAAGACCCAUAUGUGGGUUGUUUGAUCCUCAGAGUCUUAGGUAAAUGUAUUAAGAAGGUGAGAACUCUGGGAAGUGAUUGGUUUGAAUUAGGUGGCAACAGCGAAAGCUCAUGAUUGAAUUAUGAUGGAUUUUUUAAGGAUGACCACAUGGAGGAGUGUUUACCCUUACUCUCUGCUUCCUUCCCUGCUGUGUGAUCAUUCCUCUGAUACCUUCCAGCCUUACCAGGUGCCUGAACCAAUGGUAUCACCAAAUCUUGGACUGUGAACCUCCAAAACUAUAAAAAUGGGAGGCAGGAGCCCAAGCACAAGUGCCAUCUUCUGCUGCCUUCACAGGUGUAAUUACUGGGAGCCAGGUCAGGAGCUGAUCAGAAGGGAUUCCAACCUGCACUCAUGUGGGAAUCUGGCAUCACAUGUGGGAGCACUGUCUGCUGAGCCACAGCCCUUGUCUGGACAUCUGGCGUUUUCAACCUUUGUCCAUAGGCCUGACUCCAAGCAAAGAGCUCCAUUCAAGGCACCCACAUGGCUCACAGUCCACAUCUGGAAGGAGGCUCAAUGAUCCAAGCUGUCAGAGGGAAAUCAGGACUGCCAGAUUAAAUAAGGCUGGAAGGAGUAUCGCUCCUGUCAUGGCAGAGCCCCCUGCUGAGGAGGACAGAGCAACUCUGGGAGAGGACACACGGACAGGCAGGAGGGCAUCUAAGCAGAGUCCUGAAGAAACUAGAACCAACGAGGAAGAGAACACAGAGAAGCUGACGGCCCCCAGAUCCUGUCCUGCGAGAUGUGCUCAAGUUGAUCGGCAGAUGGGCAGCUAG
RNAcentral lists this long non-coding RNA (935 nucleotides) under Oryctolagus cuniculus (rabbit). RNAcentral describes it as "lncRNA (ENSOCUG00000031475.1)". The record is from RNAcentral. Lineage: Eukaryota; Metazoa; Chordata; Mammalia; Lagomorpha; Leporidae.